This 30-nucleotide non-coding RNA is filed under the name Mus musculus (house mouse). RNAcentral also lists the same sequence under 1 other name. Lineage: Eukaryota; Metazoa; Chordata; Mammalia; Rodentia; Muridae. The record is from RNAcentral.
UUGCUUGGUUCUUUCAUUGUGAUCUUCACC